This is a non-coding RNA of Ictidomys tridecemlineatus (thirteen-lined ground squirrel), 72 nucleotides long. Lineage: Eukaryota; Metazoa; Chordata; Mammalia; Rodentia; Sciuridae. The record is from Rfam.
UGGGUUGUGGCUCAGUGGUAGAGCGCUUGCCUAGCAUGUGUGAGGCACUGGGUUCAAGCCUCAGCAACACAU